AUUUUCCAGGAAUUUUUUGAUGUGUUGCACAGAGAUGGGGCCAUCCUGGGAAGAAAGUCAUUAAUUCCAGAUGAGGAGAAAUCCCUAAAGGACACAGGCUGCCUUUGUGACUUUGAAGAAGGCACCAGGGGCAGCCUCUGCCCAGUUGGCUGAUCACUUUCAAGUUAAAAAUAUCCCUUCUCAAUAGACGCUCUCACUGCAGAUGCUGCAAUAAAGUGGCAGCUGCAUUUGUCGAUUCUCCAUGGGAAAUCUCCUUGGCAAGGUCUUGCUAAUGACUGAGGAUGCCAUGCAAUGUUCAUCUCCAGGGAUGACAGGGAGGGAGAGCAAGUGGGCAGAGGUGGUUGCCCACAGUCAUGGAAGCUUCCAGUUUGUCCUCUCAGUCCAGCAGCUGAAGCAAGGAGGUGGAAAAUGAAGAAGAGAAAAUAUUCCUUACGCUAUUAGAAGAGCAAACAAGGAAUUAAUUGGAUGCCCAUGAGAUUAUCUAUGAUUUUGCCAUCUCUACAAAUGGUAGAAGAAAAAGAAUUUUGAAUCAAAGACAGUGAAGGCAACAAAGAUCUUCAAGGAGAGUCAAAGUAUGACCUGAACAGGAAGGACUCUUCUCCCAGUCUUGACCAAAUCUCACAGACAUAACACUGAUAUUCCCCAAUAGGCAGAAAUCCUUGUAAAUGUUACUUCUCUUCUGACCAGAUGAGGAGAAGAAAAUGGAGAGAUCUUUCAAACAUCAGUUGUUGGAAUGAAGAAGAGUGGACAAGCGGAAAGGAGAGGACCUUGACAGUGUCGCUGUGGUUUCAUUUAGAUUUGCAGUCUCUGUCCCAGAACUUUACCUUAGGAGAUGUAACUUCAGCACAGAUGUGUCACAUGAAGUGUCUGGGCAGCGCAGAAACUCCAGGCUAUUGCUGGCAUCCAUGGCCAAAAUAACCUUGGGCAACCGCACAUUGUCUGCAUUUAUGGCUAUGAAGAGGGAGGAUGACGUGACAAAAAGCUUGUGAACACUUUCUGCAGGCUGGAUGGGAAGUGCAGCUGAGGAUUUUGCGCAAGCAUCAAUAGUGCAGAGCCGUCUGUCUCUCUUUUGGAGACAAAAGUGAGGAUUAAAAUAUUUUUUGUUGUUUUUCUUGGGAAGAAAAAGUAAAUCUUUUAAACUCUCUGCCAACCCUCCAAAUCAGGAAGCUUUAAGAGGCUCCAAAAAGAAGCGAAGGCAAGUUUAAAGAUGUUUAACAGCUACUGUUAGCAAUUGUAAGCUGCCAAAGAUUGAUAUUCCUUCCACCAGACAGGUUGGGUAUAAUGAAAACACAGGGUAAUAAGAUAGGAAACUGUUAACCAGUCAGUGCAAACUGUUAGCUAAAUCAAUAAAUUACAGACUUGGGAACUUCUGUAGGCUGAA
RNAcentral lists this long non-coding RNA (1381 nucleotides) under Coturnix japonica (Japanese quail). RNAcentral's name for it is "lncRNA (ENSCJPG00005003080.1)". The record is from RNAcentral. Lineage: Eukaryota; Metazoa; Chordata; Aves; Galliformes; Phasianidae.